Molecule: ribosomal RNA, 767 nt
Filed under: uncultured Intrasporangiaceae bacterium
Lineage: Bacteria; Bacillati; Actinomycetota; Actinomycetes; Micrococcales; Intrasporangiaceae
Description: bacterial SSU rRNA
Rfam family: Bacterial small subunit ribosomal RNA
Source: RNAcentral
CGGAUCGGAGGGGCUUGCUCUUCUGGUUAGUGGCGAACGGGCGAGUAACACGUGAGUAACCUGCCCUUCACUCUGGGAUAACGUCGGGAAACCGGUGCUAAUACUGGAUAUGACCUGCUCGGGCAUCCGAUGUGGGUGGAAAGAUUUAUUGGUGGGGGAUGGACUCGCGGCCUAUCAGCUUGUUGGUGAGGUAAUGGCUUACCAAGGCGACGACGGGUAGCCGGCCUGAGAGGGCGAUCGGCCACACUGGGACUGAGACACGGCCCAGACUCCUACGGGAGGCAGCAGUGGGGAAUAUUGCACAAUGGGCGAAAGCCUGAUGCAGCGACGCCGCGUGAGGGAUGAAGGCCUUCGGGUUGUAAACCUCUUUCAGCAGGGAAGAAGCGCCUGGGUUUUCUCGGGUGUGACGGUACCUGCAGAAGAAGCACCGGCUAACUACGUGCCAGCAGCCGCGGUAAUACGUAGGGUGCAAGCGUUGUCCGGAAUUAUUGGGCGUAAAGAGCUUGUAGGUGGUUUGUCGCGUCUGUUGUGAAAUUUCGGGGCUCAACCCCGAACUUGCAGUGGAUACGGGCAGACUAGAGUGUGGUAGGGGAGACUGGAAUUCCUGGUGUAGCGGUGAAAUGCGCAGAUAUCAGGAGGAACACCGAUGGCGAAGGCAGGUCUCUGGGCCAUUACUGACACUGAGAAGCGAAAGCAUGGGGAGCGAACAGGAUUAGAUACCCUGGUAGUCCACGCCGUAAACGAUGGGUGCUAGGUGUGGGGGGUGU